AUUUAGCCGCACCUUCUCCCACCCCUAUCCAACCACUAGGUUUAAUGUGCUGAAUGUUUACUAGAGUAUUAGUAAUAAGAGGACGCCAGUCUCUGUAAACUGUGAACUCUUAAUAAAAAGAUAGCUCUUUAGUUUCUAUUAAAGAAGAAAACCUACAAGCCCAACAUGCCCAAGAGGAAGUCAGGCAUCCAGCCUCCAUGCUGUUGAAACCACAAGCAGCCAUGCUUUGCAGUUCCUACCCCAUCCAUUGCGAACACAGCCAUACAAAAACUGAUGCCUUUUGGUAGUUAUAUCGUGUAUAUCUACAUUGCUGAGGUACAGAAAAAUUUAGUAAAAACUCUUCAUUUUUUCCUCGUUGUAAUUUAAUUCUGAGACCGUCGCAAAAAUGGAUUAUUUUAAUGUUCUCUUUGUUCAUCGCGUUAAAUGGGUGUUAUUGCGCCUUCUUAUCGCCAGGUGGCAGAACUUAGUUGAUCCUGCCCCUCCCCCUUAGAAAUGUGGUGAAAAUUGAUGAGGAUGUCCCACUGAAGAAGAAAAAAAGAAUCAAUGAUGUUUGUUCUACUCAACUCAGAAUUUGAAGCACUUGAGUAAUUAAAAUUGUUCAUACAUUUUUCAGGGAGCUGAUGGAGAUGUCAAGGAGGAGGUUAGUCACACACACUUGAAUAUAACCAUUGUGGAGUUGGCUACAGGUGGUACUUCACAUGAUCAGUAGUGAUCUCUGGUGAUUUUAUCACAUUAUUUGCUAUUUUAAACCUGCAUGGAUCAUGCAUUCUUGAAAUAGCCUUCGAGGAGAUCUGCACGGUUGUCAUCGAAACCAGCACCUCCAAAACCAGCACCAAAACCAAAAAAGCCAGCUAAAAAAGAAAAAGAGGUAAAUGACAAGAAGAAGGUGAAGGCAGCAGCAGCCGAGGAACCAAAAGAGGAGACCCAGUCAGAAAAUGGCGAGACCAAGACAGACGAAGUAGAGACUCCAGAGGAGGCAGACGAUAAGGAGGAAGAGAAGACUGACUAGCACCGAUCCCAUACAUUCAAACCCCUCAUUUGUAUGGCCCCCAAGUCUCAUGUGUUUUCCCAAAAACCUCCAUUACCUUAUUAACAGAGGAAUAUUUUUAUCAACAAUUUUGUAAUUAUUGGUGCAUGUUUUUAGCACAAAAUAAAGCUAAAUAUGGAGGAUUGUUCUGUUGUGCAGUGGUCAUAUCAAGUGUUUUAAGCAAACAUAAUUACAGUUUUGUUGUUAUAUCAGUGUUGGUACCAUGUUGGGAGUUCAGACAGGAAAGCUGGCUAAUUACAGGUGGUAUAGUAUCACAUUGUAGGUUUGCCAACUCAGAACAUUUCACUUUUGUAGGUGGAUGUAUUUUUACCCUUGAUAUGUGCAGUGUUAUUUCUUUGUGUGGGGGUGUUCUUGUUUUCAACUUGAUUGUCUGUAAGAGGAAUUUAAAUAUUUUGAAAAAUGUAAAACAUUCCAGGCUUAAUAAUGUUGUGGGCAUACCUGCUUUUGAAAAAAUCUUGUUCUGAAUUAUUUUGAUGACACAAAUUAUUUUAGCAGAGGAAGAAGCUUGCUGGAAGUGGCUUAUGCUUUUUGAAACAAAUGUUGGUAUUUUUUAACAGUGAAAAUUAAUCUAUUGAAAUAUGCAGCUAUCGUUUGUGUUCCCACUGAAGUUCUGGAUAUCUAAUUGGAAUUUAAUAAAAGUAAUUGGAAUUUUCCUCAUGAGGAU
Esox lucius (northern pike) is the source of this 1712-nucleotide long non-coding RNA. NCBI's taxonomy places the organism in Eukaryota, Metazoa, Chordata, Actinopteri, Esociformes, Esocidae. The record is from Ensembl.